AAGGAGAUUAUGGAGAUAGUCGUCAAGCUCAGCCAAACAUUGCCCAAGAAACCGCUUCAAUAGCAGAAAGAACCCUCUCAUUACUGAAUGUAGCAGAUGAGCUUCCCAUCUUAAAA
Molecule: long non-coding RNA, 116 nt
Organism: Leguminivora glycinivorella
Lineage: Eukaryota; Metazoa; Arthropoda; Insecta; Lepidoptera; Tortricidae
Exons: 3
Source: RefSeq, a predicted model, not a curated record